GAUGAACGCUGGCGGCGUGCCUAAUACAUGCAAGUCGAGCGAACGGACGAGAAGCUUGCUUCUCUGAUGUUAGCGGCGGACGGGUGAGUAACACGUGGAUAACCUACCUAUAAGACUGGGAUAACUUCGGGAAACCGUAGCUAAUACCGGAUAAUAUUUUGAACCGCAUGGUUCAAAAGUGAAAGACGGUCUUGCUGUCACUUAUAGAUGGAUCCGCGCUGCAUUAGCUAGUUGGUAAGGUAACGGCUUACCAAGGCAACGAUGCAUAGCCGACCUGAGAGGGGGAUCGGCCACACUGGAACUGAGACACGGUCCAGACUCCUACGGGAGGCAGCAGUAGGGAAUCUUCCGCAAUGGGCGAAAGCCUGACGGAGCAACGCCGCGUGAGUGAUGAAGGUCUUCGGAUCGUAAAACUCUGUUAUUAGGGAAGAACAUAUGUGUAAGUAACUGUGCACAUCUUGACGGUACCUAAUCAGAAAGCCACGGCUAACUACG
Molecule: ribosomal RNA, 495 nt
Filed under: uncultured bacterium
Lineage: Bacteria
Description: partial 16S ribosomal RNA
Rfam family: Bacterial small subunit ribosomal RNA
Source: RNAcentral